This 569-nucleotide ribosomal RNA is filed under the name uncultured bacterium. RNAcentral describes it as "bacterial SSU rRNA". It matches the Rfam family "Bacterial small subunit ribosomal RNA", at positions 338 to 916 of the family's 1533-position model. The record is from RNAcentral.
CCUACGGGAGGCAGCAGUGGGGAAUAUUGGACAAUGGGCGAAAGCCUGAUCCAGCAACGCCGCGUGAGGGAUGACGGCCUUCGGGUUGUAAACCUCUUUCAGCUCCGACGAAGCGAAAGUGACGGUAGGAGCAGAAGAAGCACCGGCCAACUACGUGCCAGCAGCCGCGGUAAUACGUAGGGUGCGAGCGUUGUCCGGAAUCAUUGGGCGUAAAGGGCUCGUAGGCGGUUUGUCACGUCGGGAGUGAAAACUCGGGGCUUAACCCCGAGCCUGCUUCCGAUACGGGCUGACUAGAGGUAUGCAGGGGAGAACGGAAUUCCUGGUGUAGCGGUGAAAUGCGCAGAUAUCAGGAGGAACACCGGUGGCGAAGGCGGUUCUCUGGGCAUUACCUGACGCUGAGGAGCGAAAGUGUGGGGAGCGAACAGGAUUAGAUACCCUGGUAGUCCACACCGUAAACGUUGGGCGCUAGGUGUGGGGCUCAUUCCACGAGUUCCGUGCCGCAGCUAACGCAUUAAGCGCCCCGCCUGGGGAGUACGGCCGCAAGGCUAAAACUACAAAUGAAUUGACGG